UGUAAGAAUAGAUUCAGCCUCGAAUGUGUGU
RNAcentral lists this non-coding RNA (31 nucleotides) under Mus musculus (house mouse). Lineage: Eukaryota; Metazoa; Chordata; Mammalia; Rodentia; Muridae. The record is from RNAcentral.